This 92-nucleotide transfer RNA is filed under the name Acholeplasmataceae bacterium. RNAcentral's name for it is "tRNA-Ser". It matches the Rfam family "tRNA". From Rfam's summary of the family: Transfer RNA (tRNA) molecules are approximately 80 nucleotides in length. Their secondary structure includes four short double-helical elements and three loops (D, anti-codon, and T loops). Further hydrogen bonds mediate the characteristic L-shaped molecular structure. tRNAs have two regions of fundamental functional importance: the anti-codon, which is responsible for specific mRNA codon recognition, and the 3' end, to which the tRNAs corresponding amino acid is attached (by aminoacyl-tRNA synthetases). tRNAs cope with the degeneracy of the genetic code in two manners: having more than one tRNA (with a specific anti-codon) for a particular amino acid; and 'wobble' base-pairing, i.e. permitting non-standard base-pairing at the 3rd anti-codon position. RNAcentral also lists the same sequence under 1 other name. Lineage: Bacteria; Bacillati; Mycoplasmatota; Mollicutes; Acholeplasmatales; Acholeplasmataceae. The record is from RNAcentral.
GGAGUAGUACUCAAGAGGCUGAAGAGGUGCCCCUGCUAAGGGUAUAGGUCGGGAAAACCGGCGCAAGGGUUCAAAUCCCUUCUACUCCGCCA